Non-coding RNA from Pelodiscus sinensis (Chinese soft-shelled turtle), 405 nucleotides. The record is from RefSeq and is a predicted model, not a curated record. NCBI's taxonomy places the organism in Eukaryota, Metazoa, Chordata, Testudines, Trionychidae.
GCAGAGUGUCCACUGGGGGCAGCCAUCCCACCAAGGGAGUGGCCAGCAGGGUUCCGGUUCUGUCAUCUUGCCUACCAACACACUGAGGAACGCAUGAAAACCUUUGAACAUCCUGCAAAGAGCGUCAACUCCGAGGCGUUAACAUUUAAUCAGGCAGGUUACAAGCUGCAAGCAGAUGGAAAAAUGGAAUCACUGUGUAUUAAAGUGAUUUGCCCAGCUGAGAGAGAUGGUGCCAGGAAUACAAUCGAGGAAUAAUACAGAGAAUACAGACAGAAAAAGUGGGAGACACGUGUAAGCAUGAGCCCCAAUACUUUGAAAGUCAAUGGGAAGACUUCCAUUGAUCAGGUCCUACAAGCUAUAAUAGUUAUCUCUAAGUUUGAAUUACUAGCUAUUCAUGAAAAAUGA